Molecule: ribosomal RNA, 253 nt
Filed under: uncultured archaeon
Lineage: Archaea
Description: partial 16S ribosomal RNA
Rfam family: Archaeal small subunit ribosomal RNA
Source: RNAcentral
AACCAGCACCUCAAGUGGUCAGGAUGAUUAUUGGGCCUAAAGCAUCCGUAGCCGGCUCUGUAAGUUUUCGGUUAAAUCUGUACGCUCAACGUACAGGCUGCCGGGAAUACUGCAGAGCUAGGGAGUGGGAGAGGUAGACGGUACUCGGUAGGAAGGGGUAAAAUCCUUUGAUCUAUUGAUGACCACCUGUGGCGAAGGCGGCCUCCUGGCUCGACACUGACACUGAGGCGCGAAAGCGUGGGGAGCAAACAGG